This 465-nucleotide ribosomal RNA is filed under the name uncultured bacterium. RNAcentral describes it as "partial 16S ribosomal RNA". It matches the Rfam family "Bacterial small subunit ribosomal RNA", at positions 36 to 507 of the family's 1533-position model. The record is from RNAcentral.
UCCUCCCUCUGGCUUCGUGCUUAACACAUGCAAGUCGAACGGAAAGGCCCUGCUUGCAGGGUACUCGAGUGGCGAACGGGUGAGUAACACGUGGGUGAUCUGCCCUGCACUUCGGGAUAAGCCUGGGAAACUGGGUCUAAUACCGGAUAGGAGCCAUUUUUAGUGUGAUGGUUGGAAAGUUUUUUCGGUGUAGGAUGAGCUCGCGGCCUAUCAGCUUGUUGGUGGGGUAAUGGCCUACCAAGGCGGCGACGGGUAGCCGGCCUGAGAGGGUGGACGGCCACAUUGGGACUGAGAUACGGCCCAGACUCCUACGGGAGGCAGCAGUGGGGAAUAUUGCACAAUGGGCGCAAGCCUGAUGCAGCGACGCCGCGUGGGGGAUGACGGCCUUCGGGUUGUAAACUCCUUUCGCUAGGGACGAAGCUUUUUGUGACGGUACCUAGAGAAGAAGCACCGGCUAACUACGUG